UCCCACUCACUGUCUCACUCGCAAGCUUCCCCAUUCCCAUUUCCCUCGAACCCCCAAAUCCCUAGCUAGCUCGUCGCCUCCCUCGCCCGCGUCGUCAUCGCUUGCUCUCCGUCACCUGCGUCGUAGUCGCCGGCUCUCCUUCAAGAUGGCAUUUUUAUUCACUGGCGCCCGGAUCUGAAGCAGCGGGAGGAGCUGCAGUUGGUACUGGUCUGUAUGGUGGUUGGUGGAGAGGAGUGAUUGGAGAAGAUGAUGGUGAUGGAUUUUUGGCGGCAGCGAGGAGCAGCGGGAGGAGAAGCGGCGGCGAGGAGCAGCGGGAGGAGAGGCUGCUUCAGCGGCGGCGACAAGCUCCUCCGACCACCAUCUGCUGCUGCUUGUACUUCCCCGACGAUGCAGGUGUAAAUGUUGCCGAUUUACCGAAGAUGCGGCUCCUGAUCAUGCAUGUGGGUCGUCAAGAUUCUUGAUGUGGCUGAAGCUCCUGAAGAUGUUGAUCAUGUGGCUGCUGAUCGCAUGCUGCUGUGUCUGCCUCUUAGCUGUAAGACAAUCAUAGUACUUGGAGUAUUUAAUUUUGUUACUCCUUGUGACAGGAAUAUUGUUGCUUAGAGUAUUUGCUUGGAGUAUUGUUGCUUAGAGUAUUUGCUUGGAGUAUUGUUGCUUAGAGUACUUUGCUUGGAGUACUUGUAGGAACAUGGGGUAGUGCUUGAUCUGGUGCAGUAUUUUAAGUACUGUUAAAAAUAUUAUUAAUUUAAAA
This is a non-coding RNA of Aegilops tauschii subsp. strangulata, 748 nucleotides long. The record is from RefSeq and is a predicted model, not a curated record. NCBI's taxonomy places the organism in Eukaryota, Viridiplantae, Streptophyta, Magnoliopsida, Poales, Poaceae.